This 402-nucleotide ribosomal RNA is filed under the name uncultured bacterium. Its description in RNAcentral is "bacterial SSU rRNA". It matches the Rfam family "Bacterial small subunit ribosomal RNA", at positions 355 to 774 of the family's 1533-position model. The record is from RNAcentral.
UGGGGAAUCUUGCACAAUGGGGGCAACCCUGAUGCAGCGACGCCGCGUGAGCGAUGAAGCCCUUCGGGGCGUAAAGCUCUUUCGACCGGAACGAUAAUGACGGUACCGGGAGAAGAAGCUGCGGCUAACUACGUGCCAGCAGCCGCGGUAAUACGUAGGCAGCAAGCGUUGUUCGGAGUUACUGGGCGUAAAGAGUAUGUAGGCGGUUCUCCAAGUCUGGUGUGAAAUCUCCCGGCUCAACCGGGAGGGUGCAUUGGGAACUGGGGGGCUGGAGUGCGGGAGAGGGAAGCGGAAUUCCUGGUGUAGCGGUGAAAUGCGUAGAUAUCAGGAGGAACACCUGCGGUGUAGACGGCUUCCUGGACCGUAACUGACGCUGAGAUACGAAAGCGUGGGGAGCAAACA